Molecule: long non-coding RNA, 806 nt
Organism: Beta vulgaris subsp. vulgaris (sugar beet)
Lineage: Eukaryota; Viridiplantae; Streptophyta; Magnoliopsida; Caryophyllales; Amaranthaceae
Exons: 2
Source: RefSeq, a predicted model, not a curated record
UACUCCUCGUGUCAUCUCCUCAAAGACACACCACAUCACUCUCAUCUCCUUCGUGUCUUCAAUUGAAUCAGCCACAAAAUAUUUCAAGUUCAAUCUGUUUCAAAGUCUUCAAUUUAUAAUUUGAGAUGAGUUAUUUUCUUGGUGGAGGAAAAAUUGAUUCAUUAAAACAAGUUGUUUAGAGGUAAACCACAAAAUCUCUUCAUUCUUCUCACCUUUGUUCUGUCCGUCGAAUUCAAGCAACAUGCACACAUUUUUUAGCCUUUGUUCCUUCAUCAAAGUUGUAGAUCUCUUCGAAUUAUUGAAUUUAGGCUCCAAAAUUUCUUCAAUCGGAGUUCGGAGCUAAGAGUUAUGGUCUCUGGAAGUUGUAGUUGUUGCUGCCACUGUUGCAGCGUUUUUCUCUCUCCUCUGCCUUAGCGGUGUUGCUGCCACUAUCGUGCUGCCGCCGCUAUUGGUGGUUGCCGUUGCAGCUGUUGUUUUGGUUGUUGUCGCUGCUGCUUUGUGUUGCUGUUAAUGACUUGAUUCCUUACUCCAUUUACUGCACUCUUGGCUAAAGGAAACCCCAAAUCAGUUUUUGCCACUCAUAUCAAGGGUAAUAUAUGAACAAUGGGCCGUGACUAUUUUCCGAAAUUAGCAGAGGAAAGCUAUGAUAAGGCUUGGAUUAUGUGAAUUUCUUCGUAGAUUAUGGGUACUGCUGAUUAGUUUUUUUUUUUUUAGGUUUACUUUGAAUUAUUCAAGUUACAUUGAAUGUCAAAUUUGAAGAUUAUUUUUGUAGUACUUUGAUUAUAUACAAUUUGUUAUUCCACGAA